RNAcentral lists this ribosomal RNA (103 nucleotides) under Nicotiana attenuata. RNAcentral describes it as "rRNA SSU_rRNA_eukarya". It matches the Rfam family "Eukaryotic small subunit ribosomal RNA", at positions 477 to 594 of the family's 1831-position model. Lineage: Eukaryota; Viridiplantae; Streptophyta; Magnoliopsida; Solanales; Solanaceae. The record is from RNAcentral.
AUAACAAUACCGGGCUCUAUGAUUCUGGUAAUUGGAAUGAGUACAAUCUGAAUCCAUUGGAGGGCAAGUCUGGUGCCAGCAGCCGCGAUAAUUCUAGCUCCAA